UGUGCUAUAAUGUUUAUAGCAAGGGUAACUUUGGUAAACUGUUAGUUGAUGUUUGUUUGCUUGUUUGUUUCACUAGUUAUCCCUCAUUAAAAAGGGGGUUCUUGCUAAGAAUAUCACCAUCUUCUACAAAAUGUCAGGAAUACACUGUGUUCAUUGCGAAACAGUAGUUACAAUACUAAAAAUACUGCAUCCUCACAAAAGAGCAGUAUUUUUUGAUAGUAGCUUUCACAUAGUGUGUCUGUUUUUAUGUUGGUAUGAUGUAUAGUGGAAGAUCAGAAAACGUCGGCAGGAGGUGGGAGAGAAGGCAAUGCAGAGAUGAAGGACAUCAUACCACAAUAAUAGUUGUGUGUAUAAGCCUGAUCAACAAGUGAAAAGAGUCAGAUAAGAGGAAAGAGUUUGAAAACUGAUUUGAUGACCACUGCUGAAUUGGCCUGCUAAGAGGAAGAGGCACUAAUGAUUCCAGAAGAGGAAGCCAAAGAAGAAGACCUACGCAGACUUUGAAAUGGAUCUCUCAAUUGCCAUGAUGACCAAGAUAUUCAACGGGAAAAUGUGGAAAGCUGCCAUAUUCCCAGUCAUUACUUUGCCAAAUCAUCUGUGCACCACCACUGAGGGACCCUACUUUCCUGAGUACGAAGCCGGCCAUCAAGGAGUUCCCCAACUGGCAACAGACUGGAGCAGAGGCUGUAGCAGGGACAGCAUUUUUUUUUGCUA
Molecule: long non-coding RNA, 711 nt
Organism: Perca fluviatilis (European perch)
Lineage: Eukaryota; Metazoa; Chordata; Actinopteri; Perciformes; Percidae
Exons: 4
Source: RefSeq, a predicted model, not a curated record